Molecule: ribosomal RNA, 598 nt
Filed under: Microbacterium sp.
Lineage: Bacteria; Bacillati; Actinomycetota; Actinomycetes; Micrococcales; Microbacteriaceae
Description: bacterial SSU rRNA
Rfam family: Bacterial small subunit ribosomal RNA
Source: RNAcentral
GACUCCUACGGGAGGCAGCAGUAGGGAAUCUUCCGCAAUGGACGAAAGUCUGACGGAGCAACGCCGCGUGAGUGAUGAAGGUUUUCGGAUCGUAAAGCUCUGUUGUUAGGGAAGAACAAGUGCCGUUCGAAUAGGGCGGCACCUUGACGGUACCUAACCAGAAAGCCACGGCUAACUACGUGCCAGCAGCCGCGGUAAUACGUAGGUGGCAAGCGUUGUCCGGAAUUAUUGGGCGUAAAGCGCGCGCAGGUGGUUUCUUAAGUCUGAUGUGAAAGCCCACGGCUCAACCGUGGAGGGUCAUUGGAAACUGGGGAACUUGAGUGCAGAAGAGGAAAGUGGAAUUCCAAGUGUAGCGGUGAAAUGCGUAGAUAUUUGGAGGAACACCAGUGGCGAAGGCGACUUUCUGGUCUGUAACUGACACUGAGGCGCGAAAGCGUGGGGAGCAAACAGGAUUAGAUACCCUGGUAGUCCACGCCGUAAACGAUGAGUGCUAAGUGUUAGGGGGUUUCCGCCCCUUAGUGCUGCAGCUAACGCAUUAAGCACUCCGCCUGGGGAGUACGGUCGCAAGACUGAAACUCAAAGGAAUUGACGGGGGCCC